GGGGGGGGGGGGGGGGGGGGGUGGUACAGGCAGGGCGGGCGAGCAGACGAGGAGCUUGCUCCUCUGACGUUAGCGGCGGACGGGGGAGUAACACGUGGAUAACCUACCUAUAAGACUGGGAUAACUUCGGGAAACCGGAGCUAAUACCGGAUAAUAUAUUGAACCGCAUGGUUCAAUAGUGAAAGACGGUUUUGCUGUCACUUAUAGAUGGAUCCGCGCCGCAUUAGCUAGUUGGUAAGGUAACGGCUUACCAAGGCGACGAUGCGUAGCCGACCUGAGAGGGUGAUCGGCCACACUGGAACUGAGACACGGUCCAGACUCCUACGGGAGGCAGCAGUAGGGAAUCUUCCGCAAUGGGCGAAAGCCUGACGGAGCAACGCCGCGUGAGUGAUGAAGGUCUUCGGAUCGUAAAACUCUGUUAUUAGGGAAGAACAAAUGUGUAAGUAACUAUGCACGUCUUGACGGUACCUAAUCAGAAAGCCACGGCUAACUACGUG
This 497-nucleotide ribosomal RNA is filed under the name uncultured bacterium. RNAcentral describes it as "partial 16S ribosomal RNA". It matches the Rfam family "Bacterial small subunit ribosomal RNA", at positions 27 to 507 of the family's 1533-position model. The record is from RNAcentral.